UCACAUUAAUGCAUAUACUAGUACUCAUGUACAUGUACACAAUCACACAUGGAUUAAGCAAUUUUGAAUUGCAUUUAGCAACACCAUGGAUAAAACCUACUAAGGCAGAUGGCAAACGCCUGGAAUGCCGAUAUUGGAUACCGGUAAUCCAUUGUAAACACAUCCUUGUCCACUUUACCAAAUUGUAGGAUAACCUCCUCAUGUUCAGGUGUGAUCCCUCCACCCUCAGCCGAAGCAACUAGCUGAAAGUUCACCACCGAGGCAAUUGUUACGCGUCCAUUAAAAUUUAAACACCAGCUCUGUAGCUGCUCAUUCCAUAUGGGAGAUUUAAUUUUUAAGAUGAGCUGUCCAUCUCUCUGACUACAUAAAGGUCCAGAAAAGAUAUCGUUCGUGCUGUUAGGUAAAGAUGGAGGGGUGUCAAUGCUACUUUGCCGGAACUCAGUCUGUGUUGGAGCCACACCUCCUGGUUUAAUAGCAGAAGGGGAAAUUGUGUCCAUGACGCANUUACCCUUAUGAAUUUCUGUUGUUGAAUAUGUAUUCUGGAUACUUCUAACUUCUCUUCUUAAUAGGAGGUCCCUCUUCGCGAUCUUGAAGAUAAGGUCGUCGGCUUGUAUUUUUGUAAGGGUGAUGAUGACCAUCACCUCACAGAAAAAAUUCUGGAGGCCUAUGAACAGUUGGUUAAAGUGAAAAACUUCGAAAUUGUGCUUGUUUACAUUCACUACUCAUUUUUGGGGUUUCAACAUACAAGCGAAGAAUCAUACUGGAAAUGUUUCGGAGAAAUGCCUUGGUUGGCCCUCCCGUAUAAAGACCCGGUUUGUAACACGUUGCAGCAGGUUUUCAAUCAUCCUAAGUAUGCAGAUCCAGACGGGUCAGAGCCAAACCCUAAUCUUGUGAUUAUUGGACCAGAAGGAAAAUUUGUUGAACGGUUUGGUGCUGACAUCCUACUGAAAUAUGGAAUUUCAGCAUAUCCUUUCACCCGCAAAAAAGUUGCCAAGUUAGAGGCUAAAAAGAUGAGGAACAGUAAUCUUUUCAAUGGUGGAAAUAAAAACAUUCCUCUCGUACGAACAGAUGGGUCCAUAGUAAGUUUUUUUUUUGCAUUUUUGUGCUUGGUUCUACGAUCCCUACUCUCUGCUUGUUUCUCAGUAGUUGAAUAAAUUCUGGUCAUUGACAUUUGUUUUCGACUUUACAGGUUCAGUUGUCACAACUUAUGGGGAAGAGAAUCAUGCUUAUCGCUGAGAAUGGUAUAGGGCUCAACAAUCCAGAUGCCAAGUUUUGGCGGAUUCUACGAGCGAGGUAUCUCCAAAUGAAGGGCACAAGUGAUGAGUUUGAAGUUAUUCACAUCUGUACAAAAGAAGGAUAUUCUUAUGGUAAGAAUAUUGCAACUACACCAUGGUUGACGCUUCCUGCACAUAGCAAGGGAUCAAGUGGAAGCAGUCUGUUAGGAAAUUUUACUUCUGUUGGGGGGCUUUUUGCUUUUGAUCGUGAUGGAAGCCUAGUCAGGAGAACAAGAUACCCAUCAAUUAAAUGGGAGAAGAUGGACUUUCCCUUUUAUUCUGGUGUUUGGAAGGAGGUGUUGAGGGAUAUAAUAGGAAGGUACCAAUGGAACUCUUUAAAUUAGUAUAUGGGGUUUGCUCUGAGCCUCUUACUAAUAGUAUCAGGUUAAGGUGUUUUAAUUUAUCUUUAACAAAAACAUGGUUAUUGUAUUGAUGUUAUGCCAAUGUUGGUACUAUGAAGUUUUAAAUGGAAGAGGGAAGAUGAUUAAUCAGUGAUGAAGUUUGAAAAACGGAGAAGUGAUGGCUAGAAAUCUAAUUUUGGAGGUCGGAUUUCAUUAAUCCUUAGUUUUGAUGUAAAUAUAAGGGAGAUUACAGUGUCUUUUAAUGAAAAAUCAUUCCCAGCUAUUUAUCUUCGCUGAUAAUACGUUACUAAUAGAUUGUUUCAAAUCAUUAUUCAAACGGAUAUAUAUCAGCAUUGCUAUCAGCAAACUCAUUCAAAAAAUGACAUCUUAUUCGUUUUGUUAUUAAAUUUUAUUUGUAUUUGAGGUAUAUCAUGUUAUGUUGAUAAGCAGUAGUAUUUCAUCAUUGCUACACAUUUGAAACUAUGAUUGCUUUUUCUUCUUUUUUUCCUAGACACGACUGAUUUUUGUUGUUCUGUUUAUCUCUAUGUUUGACACGUAUGAAGUGCUAACUCUGGAUCCAAAUAAUAAAAACUUUAAAAGAAAUUUAAAGAAUUAUGUUCACAAAAACAGCACAUAGGUCAUGAGACUAUACUUAUCUAUUCUCCCCAUGAAUUCACCGUUAUUAAGAUACGAGAGUUUAUCAAAAUCUCUCAAAUUUAUAAACUUCUGCGCUUAGCAUGUGCCUAUGGGCCCACACAAAACAAAUAUCUUUCAAAAUACGAGAUGAAAACAGUGUGCACGUAAACAAAACGGGGUGAUUAAUUAAUGCUCACAUUAAUGCAUAUACUAGUACUCAUGUACAUGUACACAAUCACACAUGGAUUAAGCAAUUUUGAAUUGCAUUUAGCAACACCAUGGAUAAAACCUACUAAGGCAGAUGGCAAACGCCUGGAAUGCCGAUAUUGGAUACCGGUAAUCCAUUGUAAACACAUCCUUGUCCACUUUACCAAAUUGUAGGAUAACCUCCUCAUGUUCAGGUGUGAUCCCUCCACCCUCAGCCGAAGCAACUAGCUGAAAGUUCACCACCGAGGCAAUUGUUACGCGUCCAUUAAAAUUUAAACACCAGCUCUGUAGCUGCUCAUUCCAUAUGGGAGAUUUAAUUUUUAAGAUGAGCUGUCCAUCUCUCUGACUACAUAAAGGUCCAGAAAAGAUAUCGUUCGUGCUGUUAGGUAAAGAUGGAGGGGUGUCAAUGCUACUUUGCCGGAACUCAGUCUGUGUUGGAGCCACACCUCCUGGUUUAAUAGCAGAAGGGGAAAUUGUGUCCAUGACGCAAUGCAUUCUUCUCCUGCUGAAUCCAACAAAGUAAUGUAAAGUAUUCCAGUCAAACCAAUACGUUUUACCCAUGGGGUAAGCUGUAUUAUAUCUAAACUUUGAACAGAACAUAGCUGCUUACCCUUCUACUUAUAACCUUAUUCUAUAAAACUUCUUUUGAAAUGUAUGCAAUAGAUUCACCUUUAGAAAAAAACUAUAUUUCCUGUGCAGAAAACUGUUGUACCCUCUUUUCACACACACUGCGGAUUGUAUACAUGCUAAAACUAUUUUAAUCUUACAUUUAUAUACUCUGAUAGAUUUGUGCAGCAUAAUUUCUUUGUGAUUGCUAUAUUGCUAUUUUUCUUUUUCUAAAUUGCUAUAAUACCAUUCAUAAACGAUAAUAAAAUAGAAUGAUGCAUGAGGAUUUUGCUUACCUGGUUUCAAAUGAAAUGUGCGCUACUGGAUAGCUUCCAGAAGGAACACAAGGCAAAACUUGUUUUGAUCCUAUUAGCCUCGUGAAACGACUCCUUGUCAUUUUAGCUCCCGUAUGAAAUGGCAGAGCAUCAUAUACGGAAAACUUUGUCAUUAAGUAAUUAGAUCUUUCACCAAGGAAGAACAAGGGGAAAAAAGAACAAUUAAAAUGGCAGAAAUGAAUAGGAUUCAAAUAUCAAACAGGUUAGGUUAUAGAACACACUUCAGCUUUCCAAUAUAUGCACAGCUCCGUUUUGACAUAUCAUCAGCAUUGAGAGAGAUGAUAUAUUCUGUGAGAGUUGCAUGUCUGGACUUUCGAGCACCAAGAAGAAACUUUCCAUUUUCAGCCAGCGCUAUUGAUGAAGAUCAGAUAAAGAACAAAAGUCAAAGACAGUACAGUAAGGAAUGGAGAAACCUAGCCGAGAAAUGAAUACCCCACCAAGGGUCCAAUACUUGUCAGUUGUCGCAAAAACAUAAACAAGAGAUAUAGGCAUACUCCGAGAAACUGGAAAACCGUUCAGCAUUAACAUGUCAAAGUUUUAGUAUUUGGUUCUCUAUUUCAUACCAUGUCUAUCACAUUGAAUUAUUGAACAGAAGUCAACUUCACAGCAACUGAUUUAAUAUAAACAACUGUUUUGAUCACCGAAAACGAUAGCCCAUAUAAUAAGAUGGUUUUGCCGCACUGUUGCCAAGAUAUUCAAAAAACUACAGAAGCAUAUAUUAAUGCACACCUUGAGAUAAACUGAGGUACAAAUUAUAUGAAUGUGCCAACCCACUCCCACUCCCUUUUCUAAAACUCCUUUUUAUAAAACACCGGAUAAAGGAAUCUCUAGGACCAGGCUGCAAAUUAAUUAUUGAACAUAAAAUGAGAAGAAAGAAUGAAAUGCAAGUACUAAAACUAGAAUUGACAUUAAAAUUAAGAUAAAACAUGGUAAAACAUGUUACUCUAAUGCGGGUCACUGUAUUACAAUACAAUGUCAACAAUCCUAGAGUAACUAUUUUGAAGAUUGAUAAAGCACAAAAAUGGGAAUCAAUCUUUUAGAAGAAGGCAUAUACAAUCAGCUUCAUAUUUACAAUGGUCAGCGUAAAAAAAUUCGAAACAAAACUUGAAGCAAACAAUUGGUUGAUAUUGUCUGCAUUUCCUUAUUUCUUUUUCCCCAAAAAAUUGUCCACGUUAUGUUAAUAUGGUAAAUUUCAUGUAAGUUGGUUGAUAAAUUUAAAAGAUGAUACGCAUAUUUUGUAGAAUUAAAGUUGGAUUUCGAUUAAUGGACAAGAAAAACAGCACGGAGGGAGUAUUUGGUUUAGGAUUACAAGAGGGGGAGGGGCAGGUCACAGGGCCUUGGAAGUUUCUCUUUUGGUGUAUACUGGUACUUUCCACACCCACAAUUCAUUGAACUGUCUUUUUCCGUUGUUCCGCUAGUUCUGGAAAAUCUACAAUUUAUUGUAUUGUUGUUCAAUGCUGUAUCGCCUUUUUUUUUGCCCCAUAUUUCCAAAAAAAUCCAAAAUGCUUCAUGAAAAUCUUGAUAUCCCGGCAUUACAACAGAAACACCUGUCUACAUCCUACUAUAUCUGUUCCAAUCACAAAUUGUAAUCCUGGCCAUAUACAUGCACUUUACUUGCUUUAAAAUUUAUCCAUGUUAUAAGUAAUUAUAUACUUACAUCUAAAUAAAAUCGAAACACAUUCAUAUAGGCCUCCCGUCCUACUAUAUCUGUUCCGAUCACAAAUUGUAAUCCUGGCCAUAUACAUGCACUUUACUUGCUUUAAAAUUUAUCCAUGUUAUAGAUAAUUAUAUACUUACAUCUAAAUAAAAUCGAAACACAUUCAUAUAGGCCUCCUUUUGUUUCAGUGAUUUUAUAGGUAUUUCAACUUCUACGGAACUAUGUUACAACUAGUUCCAUGGAAAAUAAAGUAUAAGUGUUUUGUUCACCACUAUGUAACUGGUACUCACUUGUUUUCUUUUAAGUCGUUUAACGUAUUUUAACACAGAUUAAGAAAGUUCAUUAUUACACUAAAAAAUCAUUUAUUAGCCCUUUCUUUUCCAUUUUUGCACUCAUUUAGUGUCUUUCCUCUCUCUUUCUUCUCCUGACUCAUAGUAUUAUAUAAGGGUAUUAAAAGUCAUUAGACAACCCAAUUGUUCUUGAAAAGAGAGAACGGCCUAUCUAUACUAUACUAUAAUAAGCCAACAUGGGUAUAAUUUGUAGUCCAAGAUUUUAGUUAUAUUUUUUGGUUUGGUACUCUCCUUUUGGUACUACAAGUCUACAAAUGUGGAGUCUAUUAGUAUUAUAUUGUUAAACAGUUUCAAAUACUAAAAACACUUAUAACAAUUCAUUAUCAUAUAAUAUUUCAUUAAAAAAUUAUGAUAAUGUUAUAAAUAAAAUUAUAAAUAUACAAGAUAUUUAACAAGAACAUUCAUAUAACUCUUUUUAACUAACACGAACCAUUACAUAACCCUUUCUAACUCUAAUCUUAAAAGUUAUUGUUGUCAAAAAAAACCAAGAUUACAAAAUUAUGUUGAAAUUCGAUUGAUUAGAUUACUGAAUCUUUCAAAGAUAUUACACGAUCCGCUAUAUUUAUUAGAGUUUGUCCAUUUUCAAAUAAUCGGAAGAAAAUAUAGUCAGUUGAAUAAUAUAAUUUAAUUAAAAUUCAAUCCAUUAAUACUAAAAUACUAAUAAAAUGAUGUUAAAAUUUAAAUUAUAAAUAAUAAAUUAUGAAUUAUAUACCCGCCCGUGCUUCGCACGGGUUAAAGGCUAGUAUUUAUAACAAAUAGUGACAUUUUCUAAAACGGACUAAUAAAAGAAAAUAGAGGGAGUAAUUUAUUAAAUCACUUAAUAAUCUAAUCACCAUUUGACUUAAAAAAACCAUAGGUCACCUACAUAACUUGAAAAUCUUAGAACCCUAAGUUCCUCUAUCCAACUUAUAGCUAGCCAACCAAAUAGUAAAGCAUUUAGGUUCCAAGGUACUUGCGGUUUCAUAACUGAGGCACAUUGAAACAAAUGAAAUCAUAGGCGUCAAUAGACGCACAUAACUAAUCCGUUUGUUUGCAUGAAAAACACGAUUUCAAAUAACAAUUUCCCAACAAACAAACAAAAAAUCUUUCCGGCAAAUGAUUUCUCAAAACACAACUCAAGUCCUUUCUAAUCUUCUUAAUCAAAGUCAUAAUUAAACAUCUCAAAACCAAUAUUCUAAACAUCGGUGAACUCAGACAAGCACUCAGAGAUUAGCAAUCAACUAAAUCAUAGUACUCCCUCCGUCCCAAAAUACAUGUCGCUUUGACUUUUUGCACGUAAUUUAAUGUGCAAAUAAAACAUACUUCUAUAUAUUAUUUUUUAUAUUUCCUUUUUCUAAAUAAAAGUAUAACAUCCAUAUUUUUAUUCAGAAAAAGAAAAUUUGAAAAAUAAUAUAUAGACAUAUGUUUUAUUCGCACCUCAAAUUACGUGAAAAAAAUCAAAGUGACAUGUAUUGUGGGACGGAGGGAGUAACUUAUAGAGUAAUUCAGCGACGAGACCGAUUUCCUUGAAAUUUCCUAAUUUCUAUUUCGAUAACCGGCAGUUAUUUUUCCAAAAACUAAAUAAUUUAUCUAUGCUCAGUUGUCCCGAAUAACUGGUUUCGACUAUCGCUCGUCCCGAAAGUAUUUGAACAAAUAAUAAAACCUAGAUAUUCAAAAAAGAACACAAACAAACGCGAUAAAAUCAGAAAAACUCGAAAACAAACCUGUUUGACCGAAAUCGGAAAAGUCAAGACUCCCGAAACUUCCGGAAGCCUAACAAUCUCCUUGAUCAACACGUUCCUCCAACUCCGACACACUCCGGCACACGCCACCACGCUCCUCCUCAUCGGCCACUCACUCUCCGACGCCUCCACCUUCAUCAACACUUCUCUCAACAAAUCCUCCGGCAUUAUCGCCCACCGGCAACUGCUCUCCGGCCUAGGCUUCGAUCGGAAUCCGAUGUAACUAAGUUUCAUCUUCGCGUGGAGUCANUCAAACGACUCAAACCAACAGAAUAACAAUAAGUUGUUGUGAAACGGCGUCGUUAAGGAGUGUUAGUACUUAGUUGAGAGAGAAAUCGGUGGAUUUAAUUUAACAAAAAGCGCAAGCCGAGCAAGAUUGAUAGCUCAAGGUAGGGGUGUACACGGGUCGGUGAAAUCGACAAAACCAAUCCAAACUGAUCAUAUUUUAUCCGAAUUAAUAAGAAUUUUUUUGACUUAAUUGCUAAUUGAAUUAAAAAAAUGAAUAACACGAUUUAAUUGGGCUGGACAAAGAUCUCAGGUUUUUUAACCGAUCCAACCCAACCCGAUUAGAAAAUAUUAAAUUACAUAUAAAAAUUAUUCACCCCACCCCACCCUAGUUUUAAAUACAAUAACAAUAAAUUGUUGUGAAAACGGCGUCGCUAAGGAGUGUUAGUUGAGAGAGAAAUCGGUGGAUUUAGAUUUAACCAGUGUUGUAAAAAGCGGGAAUCGGAUUUAAUCGGUGAAGUCACGGAACAAGAAUUAAUCGGAGAUUAAUUGAAUUGAUCGGAGAUUAAUCGGAUCAGUUCGGCGAGCCGGGGAACAGGGAUUAAUCGGUGAUUACGUCAGUGACUUUUAGAACAGAGGAUUUAACAAAAAGUGCAAGCCGAGCAAGAUUGAUAGCCCAAGGUAGGGGUGUACACGGGUCGGUGAAAUCGACCGGACCAAUCCAAACCGAUCAUAUUUUAUCCGAAUUAAUCAGAAUUUUUUUGGCCUAAUUGUUAAUUGGAUUUAAAAAAAAUGAGUAACACGAUUUAAUUGGGCUGGAUAAGGAUUUCGGGUUUUUUAACCGAUCCAACCCAACCCGAUUAAAAAAUAUUAAAUUACAUAUAAAAAAUUGUUCACCCCACCCCACUCUAGUUUUAAAUACAAUAAUCAUGUUUAUGUCAAACAUAAAAAUUUAUGUUCGACAUAAAUAUGGUUAUUGUAUUGAUGUUAUGCCAAUGUUGGUACUAUGAUGUUUUAAGUGGAAAAAUGAAAAUGAUUAAUCAGUUAUCACUAUGAAAUGGAUGAAGUUUUAAAAAGUGGAGAAAUGACGUUAGAACUCUAAUUUUGGAGAUUCGUCUCUUAAAAUUAUAAAUCCUGCGGAACUAUUCGGCUUUCAUUAAUCCUUAAUUUUGAUGUAAAUAGAAAAGAGGUUACAGCGUCUUUUAAUGAAAAAUCAUUUACCAUUCCCAGUUAUUUAUCUUCGCUGAUAAUGCGUUACUAAUAGAUUGUUUCGAAUCAUUAUCAAAACUGAUAUAUAUCAGUAUUGCUAAUUUGCUAUCAGCAAACUCCUUCAAAAAAUGACGUCCUAUUCGUUUUGUUAUUCAAUUUUUGUAUUUGAUGUAUAUCAUGUCAUGUUGAUAAAUAGUAGUAUUUCAUCAUUGCUACAAAUUUGAAACUAUGACUGCUUUUCUUUAUUACUAUUUUUUUUUAGAUAUGACUGAUUUCUGUUGAUCUGUUUAUCUCUAUGUUUGACACGUACGAAGUGCUGACUCUGGAUCCAAAUAAUAAAAACUGUAGAAAUUUAAAGGAAUUAUCUGUCCACAAAAACAGGGCAUAGUUCAUGAGACUAUACUUAUCUAUUCUCCAUCUUCACCUCCCUUGUCUGCUGGUAAUUUUGUGUUGUACAAAACAGAAGCCUGUAACAAAAACUGAAGGAAUUUCCGAAUAAGAAGCCAUGAGAGCUGCAGAUGAUCCUUGGAGAGAAGAAAGAAGCCAGGGCUUGUUAGGCAACUUCUGUAGUAGCUUUUGCAACUCUAUCUCUUCAUGGUCUCUUUCUUCUACUUCUACCAAUUUAAGUAUAUUUUGUUACUACUAUAUAUCACAAAUAUAUAUCAUACGAUUUCUUCAACUCAACUGAGCAUGAAUCUGCAGUACCCCUAAUAAUAUGUGUCUAUUUUCACUGUUUAUUGCAGUCUCUACUUGGUUUGUUGUUGCUGGCUCUUACAGGACUGUCUUCCUGGCCUUCGUCGUCCUGCUCACCACAGAAAUCAUCCUCCUGACCCUCCUGGUCAUCAUCCCAGGCCAACUGAUCCUCUUGUUGGUCCUAGUCCUGCUCCUUCUCGUUUUGGGACUCCCGGAGGUCUGCCUGGUGUUGCUAACCCGCUGGCUGGUCCUAUGGGCGGGACUCCCGGAGGUCCGCCUGGUGUUCCUAACCCGCUGGCUGGUCCUCCGGGCGAAGAUCCGGUCAGGUUUGAGCCACCAGGCCCACCUGAACCCCCUGGUCCUCGCCGCUACUGAUCUUUAGGUUUCAAUUAUAUGUUGUGUAUAAGUGCACUGGUAUCAGAAUGUUUCCCGGAACUAAUGCUUCAAUGAAGUGCAAAUGUAUGUACAACUUUCAAUUUACCAAGUUCAUGUGAUGUGCUUGAUUACAUGAAACAGGUAUUGUAAUAAUAAAUUUACACUAAUAAACAGGAACUGUUUCCAAUGAUUACCUCUAGAAAUGUUUGUUUCUCUACAAAACAAGUGCUGAAGAUAAGGCAACAAGACAAGAGAAUAUAUUUCAGUGACUGAUAAACAUAUAAGUUUUUAGAUACCACAAGUAUUUUAAAAAGUUAAGACAACAAUCACAUUCGCCAAGAGUACAGUGGUAAAGACUGGACUAGAACAAGUCUCACAGAGCUCGACCGGCUACAAGCCUACAACUACUAUGAAGAAGAACCCAAAUAAAGUUAAAUAUCGAGAAAGUAGGCACAAUUGGUGCAUGCCUCUCUUGAUGUCUGGGCAAUUAACAUUAAUGGCAGAAGAACAAACCAUAUGAACAAGCUAUCUUGGGUCCUGUGUAAUCUACGCCUUUGUCAAUAAGAUGUGAGGCCUUUGUCUAUGCUGAAACAAAUGACAUGUUCCACAGUAUUAGCACAUGGAAAUACUAAUUUGUGUUUCUAAUUUAUGCCACAAGUAUGUUAACAUGACAAAGGUUUAACUUCAACAGAUAAAUUACUACAUAUAUUUUUUCUAGCCCCACUUGGCUUGUUAUCUUUUCAAGCUGAUAUUAUUACAACUCCCGUUAAUUUCCACAAAUGGUCAAAUUCAAACCAAAAUGAAGGUCAUAAUUAACUUCUAUAAACCAUAUUCAAAUUUACCUAAUCAACGAUACAAAUAUUAGUUUCAUAAGGAAUAACAACCUGAAUUGACAUCCCAGUUAGUUUAAUAAGGAAUAAAAAAUUGAAUAGACAUCCCAGUAUGAAUUUGUUAGGACAAUAAAGGACCCUCCCCUCUUCUAAAUGUUAUUGGAAGAAACUAUGAUCAUCCAACUUAAUCAAAUCCUGAUGUUAGUUCAAAACCCAGCUUUAGACCUCUUCAUCUAGUAGAUAAAAACCAAAGACAAUAUUCAAAGAUGAAAAAAAAAACAAUAGUAGCAUUGUGUUGGUAGUGGGAGGAGUGGAAUUGAGCAGUGUGAAAUAUAGGUAUGUUUACUUUCCAUCAAAUCAAGUGGCGGAACAGACAUUAGAAACAUGCAGUGCUACAGUGGGGAAUCCAGAAGUGACAGCAUACUCAAAACUAAAGUACAAGCACCCUAGAAAACAGGGAACUAAAAACAAUCCACAAGCUAAACCACUUUCUCUUUCUUAUUUCCGUGUGUUGUGUGUUUGGCAACAUUAACACUAGCUAAUAUAUCAUGGCUCCAUUAAGCAUGAGAAUAGCUACGUUAAUGUAGAUCUUGAGAGAUGUGUGUGUGUGUGUGUGUGUAAGAAGUUUCUAGGGUUAUUCUUACCUGUAAUUCAUUCACAAGCAAUCUUUGUGUCAAAGCUACUAAGGCAGAUGGCAAACGCCUGGAAUGCCGAUAUUGGAUACCGGUAAUCCAUUGUAAACACAUCCUUGUCCACUUUACCAAAUUGUAGAAUAACCUCCUCAUGUUCAGGUGUGAUCCCUCCACCUUCAGCAGAAGCAACUAGCUGAAAGUUCUUCACCGAGGCAAUUGUUACACGUCCAUUAAAAUUUAAACACCAGCAUUGUAGCUGCUCAUGCCAUCUGGGAGAUUUAUUUUUUAAGAUGAGCUGUCCAUCUCUCUGACUACAUAAAGGUCCGGAAAAGAUCUCGUUCGUGAUGAUAGGUAAAGAUGGAGGGGUGUCAAUGCUACUUUGCCGAAACUCAGUCUGUGUUGGAGCCACACCUCCUGGUUUAAUAGCAGAAGGGGAAAUUGUGUCCAUGACGCAAUGCAUUCUUCUUGGGCCCCUGCUGAAUCAAAAAAGUAAGGUAAAGUAUUCCAGUCAAACCAAUACGCUUUACCCAUGGGGUAAGCUGUAUUAUAUUAAACUUGGUACAGAACAUAGUUGCUUACCCUUCCACUUAUAACUUAUUCUAUAAAACUUCUUUUGACAUGUAUGGAAUAGAUUCACCUUUAGAAAAAACUAUAUUUUCUGUGCAGAAAACUGUUGUACCC
Molecule: long non-coding RNA, 11772 nt
Filed under: Daucus carota (carrot)
Lineage: Eukaryota; Viridiplantae; Streptophyta; Magnoliopsida; Apiales; Apiaceae
Description: long non-coding RNA (DCAR_LNC006442)
Source: RNAcentral